UAAAUAGUCCAAAAAGUAGGUUAUGUUCCAUACACUUGAAUUCAGGUCCAAUUUUCAGUCCAAACAUUUGAAAACAGAAAAGUUCCAAUUGAGGUGUUAUACGGAAAAAAACACACAUAGAGCAAAAUUGUGUUUUGAGAAAAUCGCAUUUCAAGUUUUUAGUUUGGAUAGAUCAAUGUAUUUUAUAUAUAAUUGAAUUAAACAUUCUGUUAGUACCAAAUCUAAAUUCAAUAUAUUGAAUAUAUUGAAUGAUCUCAUGUUGAUUAAGAAUGAUACAUGAUUAUAUUUCUAAUUUAUUCCAACAAAUAUGUUUGAAAAAUUGGUUGUAUGUGCCCUUCAUCCAAAGCCAAAUUUAUUCUGUACAAAUUUGGGUUUGAUAAACUAGAAAGCACGUGUUAUUCAAUGCUAAAUGCUAUAUUUCUCUUGAGUUAAAAAAUUAUAUACAUAUAAAAAUUUUUUCGAUCAUUCUAUUAAAAUAGGGGUAGGGCAUCACUUGUGGUUGAAUGUCAGGAACAGGACCAUUCAAGAAUUUGAAUGGUUUGAAAUUCACAGUAUUGAAGUUUUCAGAGCACAGCAGAUAACCAUUUUAUUCUAUCUUUAUAAUAAAAUAGUUCCUGAUAGUGAACUUAUUUGACUUUGAUGUAGGUUUGGACAUAAACAUAGGAAGCAAUAGUCUCACUGACCACCAAAUCCCUCCUUGACACAGCUGUUUAUAAACAGUUGUACCAACAUCAGUUUUAAAGAUUUUUGUUUGAGAUUUUCAGGUUAUAUGCAGAACAAGAUGGCCGAUCUAAUAAAGCAAUCCCCGGAAAAAGGGCAUAUAGUUCUAUGUGCCCUUUUUCCAUUUACCGCCUCAAUUUAGAUUGUUUACAAACCGAAUUGAAUAACAAAAUAACCCUCACUAAUCACUUAAAACUGUAAAAUAAUUAUUAUUAACUUUGAAAAUUCUGAUAUACUUCAAUUUAGAAUGAUAUACCAUGUUAUGUCAACAAAUCAAAUAUUUCGAUCAAGUUGAUUGAAAUUUCCCCAGCAGUUGAGUGCAUCUGCUAAAAAAGUUUUAUGGUUGAAGGAUUAAAAGACAAAUUUGGAAACAUUGCAAAAAUAUGUUUUUAUUUCUAAUAUAAUUAUUAUUUUCGAUCAAUAAUGGAUAAUUUUACCUUCCAAACCCUCAAGGUUUCUUUAUUUUUUAGGUCGUGUUUAUAUUUUUACAGCUGGCUAUAGGUCAGUUAAUGAGUUUUGGGGAUGAGAUAUUUUGAUUUUCCACAGACGCACUGGCUCACUCACUUUUAUUAUCCACAGACGACGAAAAUCUCAGCUGUUUUUCUAAGGAUUAAUUAUCCUCUUAAUGUCCUUCUAUCCGGAGAAGUUCCUGUUCUAUUGAUCGUUCUAGUUCCUCAUCAUUAUUGAAGUAUUACUAUAAACCCAAUAUAGUAAUAUUGGGUAUAAACUUUUUCCUCCAAGUAACCCCAUAAAAAGAAGUCAUAAAUCACAAUUUGAUCGGGGUGGCAAAUCUAAAAAAUAACUUGCUCGACCAAUCCAACGGCCAUGAAGUUUGUCAUUUAGUAAUUGCUUGACAUGAUUUGCGAAAUGAGGUGGAGCACCAUCUUGUUGGGAGAUUGCUUGAUUCAUUUCUGGUACCAUCAAAUGACGCAAGA
This is a long non-coding RNA of Nilaparvata lugens (brown planthopper), 1655 nucleotides long. RefSeq lists it as uncharacterized. The transcript is spliced from 2 exons. The record is from RefSeq and is a predicted model, not a curated record. Lineage: Eukaryota; Metazoa; Arthropoda; Insecta; Hemiptera; Delphacidae.